Ceratotherium simum simum (southern white rhinoceros) is the source of this 158-nucleotide non-coding RNA. Lineage: Eukaryota; Metazoa; Chordata; Mammalia; Perissodactyla; Rhinocerotidae. The record is from RefSeq and is a predicted model, not a curated record.
UAUAGCACUUAAUAAAGUAUUUAUAAAGUCUGCAGUGGUGUACGGUAAUGUCCUAGGCCUUCACAUUCACUCACCACUCACUCCCUCAGUCACCCAGAGCGACUUCCAGUCAUGUGAGCUCCAUUCAUGGUAAGUGCCCUAUACAAGUGUACCAUUUU